AAAGAAAGAAAUAGGCACACUUAAAAUUCCUAAUAUUUUAGAGAGGGGAUGAAAUGCUGUUCUCUCUUCCAGAGCUUUCCCAGAGCCCGUUUUCAGAGAAGGAAUGGUGCCUCAAGAGGAUGAGAGUAGAAAGAGUUCAGUCCUUCAGCUUGGGAUGGAGCAGAUUAUCCGGAAUGAAAGUUGUGUAAUGUCCUGCUCAGUGAAGGCAUGCAUUCCUGGAAGAGCAGAGGUCCUGAGAAUGUCAAAAGCUCUUGAAAACAGGUCCAGUUUCCACUUUGCCAGACGCUAUGCCAAAGACUGCUCUGAGAGCUAAUUUUGGAUAAUGAGCAAUCAGCAAGGGCAGAACAUCCUUCUUUUCCCUCUCUGGAUUUUGCCAGCAAACAGCAGUAGGCUAGCAGCUCUACAUGGAAUCUCCUGGCCAGCAGCUCUCACCAGGAACAAGAGUCCAGGGCAGGAGCUUCAGAAAGACUACAGGAGCCAUGUGGACUUGAGAAACACUGCUCACAAUGAUGAAGCUGAGUCACAGAAAGGUUUCCAGAAUCUGGAUCACAACUGA
Molecule: long non-coding RNA, 556 nt
Organism: Corvus moneduloides (New Caledonian crow)
Lineage: Eukaryota; Metazoa; Chordata; Aves; Passeriformes; Corvidae
Source: Ensembl